This is a non-coding RNA of Yersinia frederiksenii ATCC 33641, 167 nucleotides long. NCBI's taxonomy places the organism in Bacteria, Pseudomonadati, Pseudomonadota, Gammaproteobacteria, Enterobacterales, Yersiniaceae. The record is from Rfam.
GCUUUACAGAAUUAGUUUUAAAUAUAAUAGAGCUAAUAUCUUAGCGCACUAAUGCUAAGAAAGUUAGACUGCAAAGAAUAUAUUUUCGCCAACACCAGGGGACUUUUGUCCACCAACACCAGGUUUUACCCUGCCAUCUGGAUGGCUUUACAUUCAGAUGGCGACUA